GGCAAGCCAGAUGAUGAUGUGGUGGUUGAUGGUUACGAUGGUUAUGAUGACUAUGAUUUUAUGUGAGCCAGCAUUAUUUCCAUAUCAGCAUUGUGUGUUGUUCCAAAUGGAAUACAUAACGCUACAAAUAUGAAGAGAAUCCCGCGACCUGUUUCAUUUCCUUAAUUGGGAGAUGGAUUGUAACAUUUUUUGUUUUUUUGAUGGAAUAACUGAAUAAGGAGUUCUACAUUGUUCAGAUUUUAUUUUUACGAAUGUUGAUCAGAUAUCUAUUUUGAUUCUCGUUGGGGUAUCGAUGGCGCGGAGAGUGGAGACAGUAAGUGUAAAAUUUUAGUACAUAAGGAAUUGUAAUUCAUUAUUUUAACUUGUGUUACCAACUAGAACAAAAACUGCGAGUCGGUUGGGUUUGUUGAACAUCUUCUACUUCUUUCAAACUUUUUGUGUCCGCUGCUGUAAGCAAAACCUAUACAUUGUGGAUCACUUUUAUAUGUUUUUGGUAUAAGAGAAGAAAGGCAUGUGAAUCGAACAGGCCAGUGUAUGUGGGCAUGUUCUUGUUACCUGAUUUCAUCAUUCUUCACUGCUUUCUAAUUUAAAGGGCCAAACUUUCAAAUUGUCUUCAUAAGAUUCAGGAGGAAAUUAAUAGAUAAAAUUGCACCAAGCCAUUACCAACCUUCACAAUUCUAGAACUGGAAUGUGAAUUUUCCUGCUCUAUAAAAGGAAAAUGGUGAUAGUUUUAUAGGCUUGAAAUUCGGAAUACAAAUAAUACAUGAAAAUCAAAAUUAAAAUGCUUUACAACAUAAGAUCACACUGUUAGGAGCUAUCUAUAUGUUUGAGCUCUACACUCGAUAUUUCCCAAGCCACGAAGGCUGUUAUUCGGGAAAGGAGCGGAGCUCUUACAAUGUUAAGAGACACCUUCUACGAGGAAAAAAGGCUGCCUUUGAAUUUGCCAAUCCUCUAGCUUUUGCGGUAGUUUCUGUGAUUCUUAACUAUCCCAUGAAGUUAGGGCGUUAUACCUUUUGUACUUGGCACCCACCGCCCAUGUGACUUGAGGUUAUUGAGCGAACGCUCUGCAGGAAGAAUACAGUGUAGUGCGUAUGUGUUGACCAGUUUAUUAACGUGGACAAUUAUUGCAUGUUCCCACACUGAGUGGACUCUGUAUGCUUAUCUCAUAUUUAACAUUUUCAGGUUUCUAAGGUCGGAGGCGCGUGGAAGGUCGAAUGACGAAUCAAAUAUUUUGUAUUUAGCUUUAACUAAAGAUGUUAUUUUGAGUAAAGUAUUUUAAAUAAAAUACUUAUUUCUUUAUUUUCACAUAAAAUAUUUAUUUAUAGUCGUGAUUUUCCGAGUGCGUUUUCAUUUAAAAAUUAAAUUGGAUUUGGGUGUCACAGAGUGGUAUCAGAGCAGGUCUACUUUCCUAUAGACUCCGCAAAAUAUUUUACAUGAAAUUUUUAAAAGUGAAGUGUGACGAAGCCAUUCGACCAUUACGCGCUCCGACUUCAAGGUAAUGUUAUUUUAAAAGUUUUUCAAGGGGAUGAGUAUAAAUUAUUUACGCUGAAAUUAUGUUGAAUUUGCUGCAAUAAUUGAAGUUAUUAUCAGAAAGUUCAAGUUCAAGUUCAGUAUUCAAAUUAUUAUAUUGAAGAUUAUUGCAGCUAUGAAUUGUUAAAUUUCGAGGACGAAAUUUUUUAAGUGGGUAGGUUUGUCACAGCCCAAAACCAUUUUAUUUUCCUUAUUAUUUUUAUUUGAAACUAUUAAAUUUUUUAAGUUAUAAAGUGUUUGAAAAAUAUUUUAUUUAUUGAAUUUAUGUUAGUCUAGUCGUGCCCCUAGUUAGAAAAAUAACUUUAAAAAUCAAUAAAAAAUAAAUUUACAUGUAUGAAUAAUUUUUUUUGUAGUAAUAAAUGUUUAUCUAUAUAAUCAUUUAAUCUUCAUACUUAAAUGUAUAUAUUUAAAUUUAGUACUACUAAACAUGAAUUUAAAACUGAUAAGUGAAUAGUAUAUUUGAUUAUAUAUAUACGAAUUAUAUAUAUAUAUAUAUGGUUAUCCAAAAAGUUAUAAUUUUCAGAGCUCAAGUUACAUGUGUGUGAUUUAUUUCAGUACAUGCUAUGGUUAAUCUUUGUCCAUUUUAAUAUUAUGUGUUUGACAUAUGUGUUGUAAAUUCAGUUAUAUCGCUAGGGGCCCGCUCAAUGGGUCCAGGACUUCACCGUCCUUGAUAUGCCACAAUGCGAUUUCAUGUUACAGUUAAGGUUGCAACCUAUUCGCCAGGGGCCCGCUCAAUGGGUCCAGGACAUUAAAGUCCUUGGUAUGCCACCGUGCGAAUUUCAGUUAUCAGUAUACAGUGCAGUGCAUAUGUGUUGACCAUUUUAUUAACGUGGACAAUUAUUGCAUGUUCCCACACUGAGUGUACUCUGUAUGCUUAUCCCAUAUUUAACAUUUUCAGGUUUCUAAGGUCGGAGGCGCGUGGAAGGUCGAAUGACGAAUCAAAUAUUUUGUAGCUUUAACUAAAGAUGUUAUUUUGAGUAAAGUAUUUUAAAUAAAAUAUUUAUUUCUUUAUUUUCACAUAAAAUAUUUAUUUAUAGUCAUGAUUUUCCGCGUGCGUUUUCAUUUAAAAAUUAAAUUGGAUUUGGGUGUCACAAUAUUGCUCUUCAAUAUCUUCUUUUCAUUGACUCCAUUUCAUUAUUUGAUCCUAGAACGGUGGAAAACCACCUUCGAGUUAUCAAUCUUGUGUCAAACUUGCUGGGGAGCCCUCUUGGGCCUCAUCUCCAAGAGGUGGAUCAGAAGGAUUAAGAAGGUUGAAAGCUUCUAUGGCAAACAAGGUAUUCCUGAGGACAUUCUCCAUUCUCCCGAAACUUCAGCUAAUUGAUAUUUCCUAUGGUGCAUUUAUCUGUCUCUAUCUUACUGUUAUAUUAUGUUCUGUAAUACUCUUUAAUGGAUGGACCUCUUCACUCCAGAUAAUGACUCUGGUCUAUUGGCCUGUACAUUGUAAAUGGUCUAAUUUGUGAAUUCGAUUAAUUUUUGGUACAUGGUUUCUGCUAACUUCCCUUUGGUCUGCACAUAUUGUAUGUGAUAUUCCUCUCAUUUUGCAGGAAUGGGUGGCUGAUUUAGAGAAACCCAAGGGUGAUCCAUCUUCAUUUAUAAAACCAGCAACAACUGUUUUGUCACCUUACUUAAAAGUUAAAAGUAGGUUAUGCUAUGCAUAGUGUUUUCGAUUUGUUUAUUUAUGCUAUGUUUCUUUCUUUGCGGAGGAAAAAGAAUCUCGCAUUCGUUUAUGUUAUUGCUCUGUUUUUCUCUUUGUUUAAUCAUUAAGCUUAUUGCGCUUCUUUUUCUUCUUCUUCUUCUUUCUAUUAAUCUUCAUGUUCUCUUUUUCCAUUUCUUUCUCUAUUUUUAUAUUGAUGAAGUCAAGAUGAAUGCUUUUUAUUAUUAUUAUUAGUCUUCUUGCAUUCUUUUUUUCAAUUGUUUUCAGCAACAAUCGAUUUUUUCCUUUCUUUUUUCUUCUUUUUAGCUUGAUGAAGUCUGGACGAAUGUUCUACUUUGUUGAAUGGUCAUCUCUACAACUUUGUUCUUCUUCCAUUUUUUAUUCUCUGUUUUCUUUUAUAUUGUCUAUUUUCGCAGCUUUUUGCCUUUUUUCAUUAGUGUCUUUUCUAUCAUUUGUCGAUUUUAGGAUAAGAAUUAUAUGUAAAUAAUUUUUCAUUAGUGUCUUUUCUAUCAUUUGUCUUAUUCUCUUUGUACUUUUAUUCAAUUUUGUUUGAUUUGUUUUAUGAAAUAUGUAUAAUAUAAAAAUAAUUAAUAUACAUAUCAUUUUAAAGAUUACAAACAAUUAUUUAAUUUAAUAUAAAAAUUAUCAGAACGCGCCUUAAAAUAAUAAAAAUCCUCUCUUAUUUCUUUAAUUUGAUUUUUUUUCUCUUUAUUUUACUUAUUUAUUUUUAUAUAUAGAUUUCUUUAUUUUGUUAUUUUUCGUUAUUUCAAUACUGAUUUUUAUCUAAUUAGAUGUUUUAUUUUGUUAUAAUUUAGCAAAUCUCAAUUUGAAAUUCUACAAAAAGAAUAAAAUAAAAAAUCAUUUGUUAUAGUGUACAAUGAUUGAUAUAAAGUACUCAAUAUAAAUACGAACACAGACAUUUGAUUAAAUUGAGGUAUACAAAAUCAUUUUGUAAACAAAGUUGUAGAGAAAUUUUCAAUAAAAUAAAAGGGUGAUCUGACUUGAAUAUAAUUAAAAAUAAUAUUUAUGUUGCAUCUAUUCUUUCUAAUUAGGACAUGAAUCCAUCAUUUUAAUUUUUUUAAAUAUUUAUAUUUAUUUAUUUAAAUGUAUCAUUCAGUUUCGAUGCUUUCCGUGCAUCACACGGGUGAACGUACUAGUUUACGAAUUAAGGCACACAGCUUACCAUUUACACUUACAAACCUCCCUAAAACCACAAUUUUGUUACAUAUUCGAUCGGAACACAGAAAAAACAAAUAAAAGGCAUAAACCACCGCCCUUUGGCUUGCAAAAAAUAAGAGAAAUACACAGUAACCCUAGUAAUAACUGCACCAGCUUCUCUCUCUCCCUCUCUCUUGCGCUUUCUCGUCGCCGAGCCACCAUAGAUUAGAUAGCUUUCUGUUGGAGUGUUUUCUCUCACCAAUUUUUGGACUAUAAUUUCGUGCUUCUGCUGUUUCCAUUAAGGUUAGGUCUUUAUUUUUCAAGGAACAGUGCUCUAAUAAUUUAUUUUUCUAUGUUUUUUCUUCAAUUUAUUGAUUGGAUUAAUGGUUUUUCUGUGGAUUGAUAUGAUUGUGAAGUAAUUGGCUCGCUGUAUUCUAAAAAUUGUUCUGUUAUCUAGAAACUCAUAAUUAUAUUCUUUCUCCUCAAUUCAGGGAGUUAUCGAAACUUGAAGUAUUUUGAGUUCAGAAGAGGCGAAACUAUAUGGAGGAUUGGGGUAUUUUUUCAUAUCUAUUUUUCUUUAUUCAAUUGCCCUAUUUGAUUUUCAGAUUGCUGUUGUUGAAUUUUAUUUUCUUCGUUCAUGAUUUCUUCAACUGGUUUCUCUUACGGAACUGCCCCAUUUGACCGGCGGCUUUGGCUUGUAUAUAAUUCGUUUAUUUUUUUAGAAACAAUUUAACUGAAUUUGAGGUUAUCUAGGACUCUAGGUUGUGCUCUAACUGAACCACUGUCAGAUUGGCUCACAUUCUUGCUUUCUGUAAGCUAUUUUAUUGAUAAUUUACCAUUUAUGAUUUUGGCCUCCGAUCAUCUCUUUACCAAAUGAGAUGAAUAAUUCUCCUUUUGGAUUAAUUGUGCUAGUUUCAUCAUUAGUGAAAUCCCGUUAUCUCUGUGUUCAUGGGAGGAUAACCAAAUAUUCGGUUGAGGAUCUAAACCUCUUGGGCAUGGUUAGAUCUCCCGUGAUAGCUCAUCUUCUUUAUUUUGUGGAGUAAUGAAUGUAACUUGGUUUGCUUCGUUACUUUUCCAAUAUCUUAAUGGAUGAUCUUUUGGUGUUUCAGAAGAUGAGCCUGUUCCAGAUAUCCUGAGCAAAAAGGAGAUACUGAAGAGCAAUUGGGAGGAUGAGGAUUUGGACGAUGACGAUGUCAAGGAUUCUUGGGAAGAUGAAGAGGAGCCUACAAAGGUAUGCCUAAGAACUAUUUGGUUACAUUGCUGCUCUUAAUUUUCUUAUUAGUUAGGGUUCUUUGAGUAGCUUAGGUAAUCUUGUCAUUCUCCAAAUUUAUGUGGUCAGGAACCCAAAGCUGAGCCACUGCCACCUCCUGAAAAGUCCAUUCAAAAGACAGCAGCAAAAACAGAAGAAAAGAAGGUGAAAGCUGUUCAAGCCACAAAAGAGGCGCCUUUAGAUCCUAUAGAAGAAAAACUCCGCCAGCAGAGGUGGGCUUAUGCUCUGCAUUUAAAAUAUUCGGACUGUCUUCAUUCUUGGGCUCAAUGUUUUAAAAAACUAAAUCGGGAACCGAGGCGUUUUCUUAUUGUACCAUGAGGCGUAGGAACCGAUUCGAACCGAGGCGUAGGAACCGAUUCAAGGCGUAAGCCUUUAACAAAAAUUAUAAGUUCAUAAAUAUAAUAAGUUCAUAAUAUGUAGGGCUUUACUAUAGGACACUGGCGAGUUGUAGUGAAGAGAUGAAGCUGACGUUCUGUCUCUUGUUGUAGUGUUUACGUGACUCUUUGUCUUAGCAUAUGUAUAUUAGACUAUUAGGUUAUUAAUUAAUAUGUAGGGCUUUACUAUAAAUUGGGCCUAAAUUAAUAAAGCCCAUAAGUAAUUAGGUUAAAAUAUAUAGAGCCCAUUCAAAUUGGGCUGAAAAAUCAGAUUUUAAUUGAGGCUUACGCCUCAAGCGAACAGAUUCCUAUGCACCGCCUCAGAUCGCCUCAGUUAAUUGAGGCGCAGGUUUCUGUUCAAUCAACUGAGGCGCCGCCUCAGAUGCGGUUUUCCAAGGAUUGGAACUAAGGCGCACCUCAGUUCCUACGCCUCAAACGAUUUUUAAAACAUUGCUUGGGCUAUAGCAAAUUAAAAUUGAAGUGAAUAGCGAUACAUUUGGUCAUUCAAUUUAUGCACACAUUUCAAACUAGAGUUUGUAUUUCUAGUUCUUGCAGUUGUGGGGGUUGGGGUGGUUUACAUCAUUGAACUCAGGAAUUAUAUUCAACUCCGAAAGAAUCCAGUCAUUGAACUUCCAUUACCUGCAGUCACAGUUUUAUUAUACUGCAAAUUCUAUCUUCCAUUAACUUUAGUAACUAACAUCUAUUAAUACAUGUGCUUCGUUUCUACAGGCUUGUAGAAGAAGCCGAUUUUAAGUCUACUGCAGAAUUGUUUGCCAAGAAGGGUGAUGAAAAGACACUGGAUAAUUUUAUUCCGAAAAGUGAGAGUGAUUUCCUGGAAUAUGCGGAACUGAUCUCUCAUAAACUUCGUCCAUAUGAGGUUCGUGAUAUUUGCAUCACUAUAGCUGUUCAUUUUGGCAUUUGUUGUUAUAGAACUGUGACCUAUCUAUUUUCUUUAUUACAGAAAAGCUAUCACUAUAUUGGGUUGCUGAAGUCUGUAAUGAGAUUGUCAUUGACAUCUUUGAAAGGUGCGGAUGCCAAAGAAGUUGCUUCAUCCAUUACUGCAAUCGCAAAUGAAAAGAUAAAAGCUGAAAAAGAAGCCAAUGCUAGACAAAAAGAAGACUAGGUUUGUUAUUUCUCAGUUGCAUGCUACAUUAUAGCGAAUUAUAGUUACAAGUUUUGUGACAAGUUAUCUAUUGCUUACAGUUGGAAAGAAGAAACAACUGCAUGUUGGCAAGCCAGAUGAUGAUGUGGUGGUUGAUGGUUACGAUGGUUAUGAUGACUAUGAUUUUAUGUGAGCCAGCAUUAUUUCCAUAUCAGCAUUGUGUGUUGUUCCAAAUGGAAUACAUAACGCUACAAAUAUGAAGAGAAUCCCGCGACCUGUUUCAUUUCCUUAAUUGGGAGAUGGAUUGUAACAUUUUUGUUUUUUUGAUGGAAUAACUGAAUAAGGAGUUCUACAUUGUUCAGAUUUUAUUUUUACGAAUGUUGAUCAGAUAUCUAUUUUGAUUCUCGUUGGGGUAUCGAUGGCGGGAGAGUGGAGACAGUAAGUGUAAAAUUUUAGUACAUAAGGAAUUGUAAUUCAUUAUUUUAACUUGUGUUACCAACUAGAACAAAAACUGCGAGUCGGUUGGGUUUGUUGAACAUCUUCUACUUCUUUCAAACUUUUUGUGUCCGCUGCUGUUAGCAAAACCUAUACAUUGUGGAUCACUUUUAUAUGUUUUUGGUAUAAGAGAAGAAAGGCAUGUGAAUCGAACAGGCCAGUGUAUGUGGGCAUGUUCUUGUUACCUGAUUUCAUCAUUCUUCACUGCUUUCUAAUUUAAAGGGCCAAACUUUCAAAUUGUCUUCAUAAGAUUCAGGAGGAAAUUAAUAGAUAAAAUUGCACCAAGCCAUUACCAACCUUCACAAUUCUAGAACUGGAAUGUGAAUUUUCCUGCUCUAUAAAAGGAAAAUGGUGAUAGUUUUAUAGGCUUGAAAUUCGGAAUACAAAUAAUACAUGAAAAUCAAAAUUAAAAUGCUUUACAACAUAAGAUCACACUGUUAGGAG
Molecule: long non-coding RNA, 8027 nt
Filed under: Salvia miltiorrhiza (redroot sage)
Lineage: Eukaryota; Viridiplantae; Streptophyta; Magnoliopsida; Lamiales; Lamiaceae
Description: long non-coding RNA (SMIL_LNC007237)
Source: RNAcentral